Molecule: long non-coding RNA, 280 nt
Filed under: Trifolium pratense (red clover)
Lineage: Eukaryota; Viridiplantae; Streptophyta; Magnoliopsida; Fabales; Fabaceae
Description: long non-coding RNA (TPRA_LNC004755)
Source: RNAcentral
UUGGGACAUACUAUUUUUCAAUGUUGGAAAUUACAUGGUCUUCCGCGACCUUCAAAUCAGAAGAACAAAGGUGGAGGUGAGGGUCAUACAUUCCAAGCCAGUAAUUCUGAUCAAGAGCAUCAGNNNNNCAAAAUUCUUGAAUCUAACACUCUUUUUGGCUCUGUUGCCCCCAAAGGUACUUCUGCCCUUUUUAGUGUCAGUCCCAGUCGUGCUUGGAUAGUAGAUUCGGGUGCAAGUGAUCACAUGACAGGUGAUUCUACUCUGUUUUCUUCUUAUAGUC